This 735-nucleotide ribosomal RNA is filed under the name uncultured Fusobacterium sp. Its description in RNAcentral is "bacterial SSU rRNA". It matches the Rfam family "Bacterial small subunit ribosomal RNA", at positions 28 to 776 of the family's 1533-position model. Lineage: Bacteria; Fusobacteriati; Fusobacteriota; Fusobacteriia; Fusobacteriales; Fusobacteriaceae. The record is from RNAcentral.
GAUGAACGCUGACAGAAUGCUUAACACAUGCAAGUCUACUUGAAUUUGGGUUUUUAACUUAGGUUUGGGUGGCGGACGGGUGAGUAACGCGUAAAGAACUUGCCUCACAGCUAGGGACAACAUUUAGAAAUGAAUGCUAAUACCUAAUAUUAUGAUAAUAGGGCAUCCUAUAAUUAUGAAAGCUAUAUGCGCUGUGAGAGAGCUUUGCGUCCCAUUAACUAGUUGGAGAGGUAACGGCUCACCAAGGCGAUGAUGGGUAGCCGGCCUGAGAGGGUGAUCGGCCACAAGGGGACUGAGACACGGCCCUUACUCCUACGGGAGGCAGCAGUGGGGAAUAUUGGACAAUGGACCGAGAGUCUGAUCCAGCAAUUCUGUGUGCACGAUGAAGUUUUUCGGAAUGUAAAGUGCUUUCAGUUGGGAAGAAAGAAAUGACGGUACCAACAGAAGAAGUGACGGCUAAAUACGUGCCAGCAGCCGCGGUAAUACGUAUGUCACGAGCGUUAUCCGGAUUUAUUGGGCGUAAAGCGCGUCUAGGUGGUUAUAUAAGUCUGAUGUGAAAAUGCAGGGCUCAACUCUGUAUUGCGUUGGAAACUGUAUAACUAGAGUACUGGAGAGGUAAGCGGAACUACAAGUGUAGAGGUGAAAUUCGUAGAUAUUUGUAGGAAUGCCGAUGGGGAAGCCAGCUUACUGGACAGAUACUGACGCUGAAGCGCGAAAGCGUGGGUAGCAAACAGG